RNAcentral lists this non-coding RNA (112 nucleotides) under Erysipelotrichaceae bacterium MTC7. Its description in RNAcentral is "TPP riboswitch aptamer (THI element)". It matches the Rfam family "TPP riboswitch aptamer (THI element)". Rfam says of the family: Vitamin B(1) in its active form thiamin pyrophosphate (TPP) is an essential coenzyme that is synthesised by coupling of pyrimidine and thiazole moieties in bacteria. RNAcentral also lists the same sequence under 1 other name. Lineage: Bacteria; Bacillati; Bacillota; Erysipelotrichia; Erysipelotrichales; Erysipelotrichaceae. The record is from Rfam by way of RNAcentral.
AAGUUCAGACAGGGGCGCUAUCCACUAUGGUGGACGCUGAGAUGUACGAAAGUACGGUCCCUUAUGACCUGAUCUAGUUAAUGCUAGCGUAGGGAGUCUACUUGAUAGAUAU